GACGAACGCUGGCGGCGUGCUUAACACAUGCAAGUCGAGCGGUAAGGCCCUUUCGGGGGUACGACGAGCGGCGAACGGGUGAGUAACACGUGGGUGACCUGCCCUCAGCUCUGGGAUAAGCCUGGGAAACCGGGUCUAAUACCGGAUAUGACUCCAUGACGCAUGUUGUGGGGUGGAAAGCCUUGUGCGGCUGAGGAUGGGCCCGCGGCCUAUCAGCUUGUUGGUGGGGUGAUGGCCUACCAAGGCGACGACGGGUAGCCGGCCUGAGAGGGCGACCGGCCACACUGGGACUGAGACACGGCCCAGACUCCUACGGGAGGCAGCAGUGGGGAAUCUUGCGCAAUGGGCGAAAGCCUGACGCAGCGACGCCGCGUGAGGGAUGACGGGCCUCGGUU
RNAcentral lists this ribosomal RNA (395 nucleotides) under uncultured bacterium. RNAcentral describes it as "bacterial SSU rRNA". It matches the Rfam family "Bacterial small subunit ribosomal RNA", at positions 28 to 423 of the family's 1533-position model. The record is from RNAcentral.